GAUAAUCAUUAGUCUUUUAAUUUGAGACUGGAAUGAAAGAGUAAACCAGGAGAAUUUUUUUUUAUUUUAAGAAAUGAACUUUACUUUUUAGUAAAAAGGCUAAAAUGAUUCUUUUAGACAAGAAGACCCUAUAAAACUUUAUAUUUUUUCUUUAAGAAUANNAAAAGGAAAAGUAUUUCACUGGGGCGGUGGAGAAAAANCNNUCUUUCUUUAAGAAAGAAAACUAACUAGUUUUAGUACCUAGAAUUUCUAAAAAAGAAAUAAGUUACUUUAGGGAUAACAGCUUAAUUCACUUAGAAAGAUCAAAUUGACAAGUGAGUUUAUGACCUCGAUGUUGAAUUAAAAUUCCUUC
This 352-nucleotide ribosomal RNA is filed under the name Buthus ibericus. RNAcentral describes it as "partial 16S ribosomal RNA". Lineage: Eukaryota; Metazoa; Arthropoda; Arachnida; Scorpiones; Buthidae. The record is from RNAcentral.